GAUUUUAUAAACGAGCUGCAGUGCACAUUUGUGUUCAAGAUUUUGUACGGAUACAUGCCUUCAUUUUCAAUGGAUAAUACCUAGGAGUGGAUUGCUUGGAUCAUAUGAUAGAUACAUGAACUGAGGUUCUAAGAUGUUAAGGAACUUGAUCAUGUCACAUAUAGAAACCUGAAGAGCUGAAUAGAAUUGUAGACUUUACUGACUGACCAAGAAACCCAUCCUCAAAUUCAAAGGAGACUAACUUUUAUAGACAACGUUUCCUGGGCUCCUGCCUCUGACUCCAAGCUUCCUUCAGACAAUGGAAAGCAGAGGCUUUCAGAAUGGCAGAGAUCUUGGACAUUUCUCAGACAUUGGCUUCCAGCCUCUACUGCCAAAGCUCCUUUUGGGGUGCUCCUCUUCUAUUGUUCCAGUUAUCCAAGGAUCUAAUGACACUAAUUUUUUUUCCAUUUUCCCCUUCAGCCUGGGUUAAUAAUAGCUCUCUACUCUUGCUAGUCAUUUGCAUGCUUCCCCAUUCCCUCAUAGUUUGUUUAAGUGUUUCAUAAAUAGCCCUUUUGCUAAACUACCUUUUGCUACCCCUUUGAAUUUUUGGUCUUCCCCACCAAUUCCAGAAUAGCAUGGGUAUCAACAGACAAAGAUAAAGAAAAUAACUGUCUGAAAUAAUUUAAUUCACUAGUGGAAGAAAUAACAUAGUUCUUAAGUGAGCAUCUUUUCAGAUAUCUGAGGCUGCUGUGGUCAAGCUGAAAUUAGAGAGCUCAUUACCAAGUUGAAGGCUUUUCCAAAAGGCCUUAUCAUAGUUUAGUUAAAAGGUUGUAUUAUAUCUGUGAUAUGAAAUAUACUCAAAAAGCAAUUGAAAAACAGAUAAACCACUCUAUUAAAGACUUAAAAAAAGAAAAACAGAUCAGUAAACCUUUUACAUCUUUAGCACAGACAUAGGGUUAAAGGGUGUUGAAUGGGGAAAAUACUUAGAGAUGAUCUUAAAAGGCCAUGUGAAGACUCAGCCAAGGAGGAAUGACGAAAGAGGAAGUGACAGUAGGAGUAUGCUAAGUACAUAUUUCCCUGACCAGUUCUGAGAAUAACAUCAAGUAAAAAUUCAUUUGGAUUUAGAGGCUGCUCUCAACAGUAUCUAAACAACUUGAGGUUUCUGUCUUAAGUAUCAACAUGACAAUAUCUAGGUCAAAGGCAUAGUUUGUGAUUAAUAAACUGAAUUUUUACUUCAAAAAGACAAAUAUUCCCCAGCUGCUGCAAGAACAUCCCCAUCCCCUCAAGAAGGAAGAAAGAUUUCAUGACAUCGAUUGAGCAAUGACAGUGUGUGAAUGGUAAAGUUUGAUGUGGUAGUUAUAACCGACUGGUUGUUUGAAUUCCAUGGCUCCCAUGUAAUCUCUGUAUAUAUAUAUAUA
Molecule: long non-coding RNA, 1397 nt
Organism: Orcinus orca (killer whale)
Lineage: Eukaryota; Metazoa; Chordata; Mammalia; Artiodactyla; Delphinidae
Exons: 3
Source: RefSeq, a predicted model, not a curated record